AUUGAACGCUGGCGGCAGGCCUAACACAUGCAAGUCGAGCGGAUGAAGGGAGCUUGCUCCUGGAUUCAGCGGCGGACGGGUGAGUAAUGCCUAGGAAUCUGCCUGGUAGUGGGGGAUAACGUCCGGAAACGGGCGCUAAUACCGCAUACGUCCUGAGGGCGAAAGUGGGGGAGCUUCGGACCUCACGCUAUCAGAUGAGCCUAGGUCGGAUUAGCUAGUUGGUGGGGUAAAGGCCUACCAAGGCGACGAUCCGUAACUGGUCUGAGAGGAUGAUCAGUCACACUGGAACUGAGACACGGUCCAGACUCCUACGGGAGGCAGCAGUGGGGAAUAUUGGACAAUGGGCGAAAGCCUGAUCCAGCCAUGCCGCGUGUGUGAAGAAGGUCUUCGGAUUGUAAAGCACUUUUAGUUGGGAGGAAGGGCAGUAAGUUAAUACCUUGCUGUUUUGACGUUACCAACAGAAUAAGCACCGGCUAACUUCGUG
RNAcentral lists this ribosomal RNA (484 nucleotides) under uncultured bacterium. Its description in RNAcentral is "partial 16S ribosomal RNA". It matches the Rfam family "Bacterial small subunit ribosomal RNA", at positions 30 to 507 of the family's 1533-position model. The record is from RNAcentral.